ACGGAGGGUGCAAGCGUUAUCCGGAUUCACUGGGUUUAAAGGGUGCGUAGGUGGGUUGGUAAGUCAGUGGUGAAAUCCUGGAGCUCAACUCCAGAACUGCCUUUGAUACUGAGAAUCUUGAGUAUGGGAGAGGUGAGUGGAACUGCGAGUGUAGAGGUGAAAUUCGUAGAUAUUCGCAAGAACACCAGUGGCGAAGGCGGCUCACUGGCCCAUAACUGACGCUGAGGCACGAAAGCGUGGGGAGCAAACAGGA
Molecule: ribosomal RNA, 253 nt
Filed under: uncultured prokaryote
Description: partial 16S ribosomal RNA
Rfam family: Bacterial small subunit ribosomal RNA
Source: RNAcentral